Long non-coding RNA from Saccostrea cuccullata (small rock oyster), 1309 nucleotides. RefSeq lists it as uncharacterized. The transcript is spliced from 6 exons. Lineage: Eukaryota; Metazoa; Mollusca; Bivalvia; Ostreida; Ostreidae. The record is from RefSeq and is a predicted model, not a curated record.
UCAAAAAAAUGCUUUUUCAUAUUGGGUACAUCCCACUAAUUAUUUUUAGAAUCGGUAGGAGAAGAAAGUAGUGCAGAAAAAAUUACAAGUUCCUUAAAUUGCAGACUUGCAUAAAAAAAAUUGGGCAGGUGUACUGAACUGAGCCUCACACUUGUUGAUAAGGAGUAUCUUUCCUACCAAAAAAGCUUUGAAAAUGUAAUUUAUCAAGAAGAUCAGCCGAAUUAUUUUGUGUAUUAUAACGCCAGUGAGAAUUCUGAAAUUCCCCUACUUUCACUUUCAUUUUUAGAGGUUCCCGCAGACAGACGCAUUUUGCCGGAAAACGAAUCUGACAUGCCACCUCGAGAUUUUAACCAAGGAAAGACAAGUUGAUGUGCUUUGAUUUGAGGGGUCACUCACUACCGAACGAAAAUUAGGGACAUCGCUGUGGGAAGAAACGUUAACAUUGUCGCCUAUGGGAAAACAAUUAGUGGACUGUACCCAUAUUAGGAAGCCUGUAAGUUCAUGGUGAUUGGUACAGGAAAAACAUGAGGUCCAUGCAGAUGGUGUUUAAAACUAUUGGCCAGCAAAUGCACACCAAUUGGAAUACAUCUUGAAAAAGAACCAUCAAAAUGUGACAGUCGGCAAAAUAUAGGUUCCCGCAGACAGAUGCAUUUUGCCGGAAAACGAAUCUGGCAUGCCACCUCGAGAUUUUAACCAAGGAAGGACAAGUUGAUGUGCUUUGAUUUGAGGGGUCACUCACUACCGAACGAAAAUUAGGGACAUCGCUGUGAAAAGAAACGUUAACAUUGUCGCCUAUGGGAAAACAAUUAGUGGACUGUACCCAUAUUAGGAAGCCUGUAAGUUCAUGGUGAUUGGUACAGGAAAAACAUGAGGUCCAUGCAGAUGGUGUUUAAAACUAUUGGCCAGCAAAUGCACACCAAUUGGAAUACAUCUUGAAAAAGAACCAGCAAAAUGUGACAGUCGGCAAAAUAUAGGUUCCCGCAGACAGAUGCAUUUUGCCGGAAAACGAAUCUGGCAUGCCACCUCGAGAUUUUAACCAAGGAAGGACAAGUUGAUGUGCUUUGAUUUGAGGGGUCACUCACUACCGAACGAAAAUUAGGGACAUCGCUGUGAAAAGAAACGUUAACAUUGUCGCCUAUGGGAAAACAAUUAGUGGACUGUACCCAUAUUAGGAAGCCUGUAAGUUCAUGGUGAUUGGUACAGGAAAAACAUGAGGUCCAUGCAGAUGGUGUUUAAAACUAUUGGCCAGCAAAUGCACACCAAUUGGAAUACAUCUUGAAAAAGAACCAGCAAAAUGUGACAGUCGGCA